UAAAAAACUGCAUUUUUAUAUAAAUGACGGUCAGAACAAAUCAUUUGAUAUAUAUACAUAAUAAAAUACAGGUAACAAUUUAAUCAGCCAAAAUAUGUAGAUGAAAUGAGGAGAAAACACAGGGUACAGGCUGUAAAUGAAAAGAUUUGACCUCGAAACGUCCCGUCAAAAUAUUUUUUAUCUACAGCACUGUACCCUUGUUUUCUCCUCAUUUCAUUUAUAUACAUAUAUGUAUGUAUAUAUGUAUUAUGUAUUAUGUAUGCAACGCCUUUUUAAGAUUUUUCGAUUUGUGAGUCUUUCUUACGUUGAAAGAUAUUUAGACCAGUUUUUUUUGCAUUUAGUAGAGACUCGUUAGAACUACUAUUCUGCGAAAAAAAAAUUGAAAUUUGAGGCAAUAGAUUGUGAGGGGUGGGGCUCGAAAGUGGGGGGGAGGUCAAAUCUUGCCACUCGAUAACUCGAGCGAAAACAAAUAUUUAAGCUGAAAUUUCUAUGGGUGGUAGUUCUACCCUAGGACUGGUUUGGUAUUGAAUUUGAGCUAAUCGGCCGAGCCGUUUAAAAAUGGCGAGCUUUGAAGUUUUAGGCGGGGGGUGCGCGGCAUGAGGGGAGCCGGCCGGAGCAGGGCCGCACAGUGGGUCAGGGGGAGGAAGGUUUUGGACAAAAUUUGCGUCCACAGUGGGUCAGGGGAAGAAGUUUUUUUUGUGUUUUUAUUUGCCAGUAUGUUUGUAAGAAAAACUCCUCCAAGCAGUGAUACUGUGACUUAUAGUUAAAGUUUUGGGCUUGGAACUUGGGAGUCCCUUUUUCUGUGGAUGAUCACUCAAAUUACUAUCUUUUUACAACACUAUGUCUAUUAAUGUCUUCGCAAAUUUUUUACAACAUUUAGUAACACUGUAAGACUUUUUUUUAUCUCCCCAUCAUUAAGUGAGUCAGUUAAGUGUUACAACCUCGUGAUUUCAAAGGAGAUCUUUCUUAAAUCGGUCUGUUGUAUUAGUGGAAAUGCUAAAUGCGGGGGGAUUCUUCUUUGUGUUGUUUUUUGUUGAUUUUUUCUUUCCUUUUCAGCCGGGCGUGGAAUUUGGCAUUACUUAUUUUGAUAACCCUGGAAUCAGAAUCCCCUAUGCUGUUUCAUCAUGGGUCACAUAUUCAGGGCUAGCAGAUUACAUCAAACAGCAGUAUGAAGCAGCGGUGCUAUUAUCCAACCGGCGGAGGGAAACAUCAAGCCAAGAUGGAGAUAAUCCUAGUUUUAACAAAUUUAAACACUCUCCGAAGGAAUCUAGGAUUGAUAUGUCACAGGUUUUUCCUGCUGAUAUUCCCUCAAAAAAUCUGUGCAUUUAA
Molecule: long non-coding RNA, 1329 nt
Filed under: Bemisia tabaci
Lineage: Eukaryota; Metazoa; Arthropoda; Insecta; Hemiptera; Aleyrodidae
Description: lncRNA ENSSWEETPG002837
Source: RNAcentral